Molecule: long non-coding RNA, 254 nt
Organism: Pomacea canaliculata
Lineage: Eukaryota; Metazoa; Mollusca; Gastropoda; Architaenioglossa; Ampullariidae
Exons: 3
Source: RefSeq, a predicted model, not a curated record
UCGCAUGCUACACUGGGUGUUUGACGACAGUAGCCGGUGUAGCCUUGUUGUCUGUCUUCUCAAAAUGUCUCAAAGACAACAUUUGAAAUGAUCACUUACUCUUUUGUUUGUUUGUUUGUUUGUUUGUUUGUUUGUUUGUUUGUAUGUAUGUGUGUGUGUUUGUGUGACUGCCUGAGUGUGUGUGUAUGUGUGUGAGUGGAGGUAGUGUGAGCACAAACUACUUGGCAGACAUCUCUUGACAGUUUGUCAGAUGA